Long non-coding RNA from Octopus sinensis (East Asian common octopus), 99 nucleotides. RefSeq lists it as uncharacterized. The transcript has 3 exons. Lineage: Eukaryota; Metazoa; Mollusca; Cephalopoda; Octopoda; Octopodidae. The record is from RefSeq and is a predicted model, not a curated record.
UUCCAUUGAUUGCUUGUGUCUGUAGUCUUGUAAUUAGCUUUCGUCUUUCUGGUUUAGAGAAUCCUAAUUUCUCAAGAUGUGUAUGUCUUUAUGUAUAUA